RNAcentral lists this ribosomal RNA (483 nucleotides) under uncultured bacterium. RNAcentral's name for it is "partial 16S ribosomal RNA". It matches the Rfam family "Bacterial small subunit ribosomal RNA", at positions 30 to 507 of the family's 1533-position model. The record is from RNAcentral.
UUGAACGCUGGCGGCAGGCCUAACCCAUGCCAGUCGAGCGGAUGAAGGGAGCUUGCUCCUGGAUUCAGCGGCGGACGGGUGAGUAAUGCCUAGGAAUCUGCCUGGUAGUGGGGGAUAACGUCCGGAAACGGGCGCUAAUACCGCAUACGUCCUGAGGGAGAAAGUGGGGGAUCUUCGGACCUCACGCUAUCAGAUGAGCCUAGGUCGGAUUAGCUAGUUGGUGGGGUAAAGGCCUACCAAGGCGACGAUCCGUAACUGGUCUGAGAGGAUGAUCAGUCACACUGGAACUGAGACACGGUCCAGACUCCUACGGGAGGCAGCAGUGGGGAAUAUUGGACAAUGGGCGAAAGCCUGAUCCAGCCAUGCCGCGUGUGUGAAGAAGGUCUUCGGAUUGUAAAGCACUUUAAGUUGGGAGGAAGGGCAGUAAGUUAAUACCUUGCUGUUUUGACGUUACCAACAGAAUAAGCACCGGCUAACUUCGUG